This 547-nucleotide long non-coding RNA is filed under the name Brassica rapa (field mustard). RNAcentral's name for it is "long non-coding RNA (BRAP_LNC001728)". The record is from RNAcentral. Lineage: Eukaryota; Viridiplantae; Streptophyta; Magnoliopsida; Brassicales; Brassicaceae.
CCGGCAAUCAAACCACCGUCUCCGUCAUACAAGCCACCCUCAUUUCCUACUACUCCGAUUAAACCACCCACCAUUACACCACCAGUCAAACCCCCAACCACUCCGGUUCCACCCACAUCACCACCUACGUACAAACCUCCAACUGUUAAACCACCUACAACAACACCGGUCAAACCACCUCCGGUUCAACCACCUUACAAACCCCCAACGUCACCGGUUAAGCCACCCACGAUGCCACCAGUCAAACCACCACCUACGUACAAACCCCCAACGCCACCUGUUAAGCCACCCACGAUACCACCAGUCAAACCACCUACAGCGCCGGUUAAACCAACCCCAAUACCUCCAUAUAAGGCACCACCUGUCAAACCGACCCCACCACCGCCAGUCACAACACCACCGCCAGCUAAACCACCCGUCAACCCAAUCCCAUCACCUCCGGUCAAUGCACCACCUGUUAAGCCACCGUACAAACCUCCGACACCGCCUCCCGUCAGACCUCGGAUAAGUAAGUUAAGCUAAUAAUAUUUUUUUUGUAAUAUUGUAA